RNAcentral lists this non-coding RNA (61 nucleotides) under Spodoptera frugiperda (fall armyworm). The record is from RNAcentral. Lineage: Eukaryota; Metazoa; Arthropoda; Insecta; Lepidoptera; Noctuidae.
GUGUGCGUUGUGGCAAAGGAGAUCUGCUCAGUCGAUCAUCCCCUUGUUACAAACCUCACCU